This 352-nucleotide unclassified non-coding RNA is filed under the name soil metagenome. RNAcentral's name for it is "partial contains 5.8S ribosomal RNA, internal transcribed spacer 2, and large subunit ribosomal RNA". The stretch from base 1 to 120 matches the Rfam family "5.8S ribosomal RNA", at positions 35 to 154 of the family's 154-position model. The record is from RNAcentral.
GAUGAAGAACGUAGCGAAAUGCGAUAAGUAAUGUGAAUUGCAGAAUUUAGUGAAUCAUCGAAUCUUUGAACGCAUAUUGCGCCCGCCAGCACUCUGGCGGGCAUGCCUGUUCGAGCGUCAUUUCAACCCUCAGGCCUCGUGUCUGGCGUUGGGGCGCUGCGGCCCCCGCAGGCCCCCAAAUCUAGCGGCGGACCCACCCGGCCCUGAGCGCAGUAGUUUGACUUAAACGCUCCGGCGGCCGUGGCGUGGUUUGCUUGGUGCAGAAAAUACCCAGUUCGUCUGGCGUACUACCAGUUGACCUCGGAUCAGGUAGGACUACCCGCUGAACUUAAGCAUAUCAAUAAGCGGAGGA